Molecule: long non-coding RNA, 4709 nt
Organism: Cervus elaphus (red deer)
Lineage: Eukaryota; Metazoa; Chordata; Mammalia; Artiodactyla; Cervidae
Exons: 2
Source: RefSeq, a predicted model, not a curated record
AGAAAACAGAGAGUGUGGGGGGCCAGGAGCCGAGGAGCGGGAGAGGGUCAGAGGAGAGAGAGGGUCUGGGGACUCUGGAGCCAGACAGGAGGGGGUUUGGAGGGGUCAGGAGAAGGGCUGAGGGAGACAGCAGGACUCCAACUGCCGAGGGAGGGGGGCAAGACCGGACGUGGAGAAACAUGCUCUGGGUGGACAAGAGCCGGGCCGGGCAGCUGGGGGCCCCGGGGCAGCCUCUGUCUGAUCCUGCGGGGAGCCCCAGGCCUCAGCCACUUCCCUCCCCAGGGAACCUGGCCGCUGGAUUCAACGCCAACCCGGAAUAAGGGGCCCUGAGCUGGCACUGAAGCUAGACAGAAAAAGAGACAAGGUUCCUGCCUGCAGUCUCAAAAGGACUCCAGGACCUAGAAACAGAGGCAGGCUGGCGGCCAGGCUUCGGAAGGCCAGGGAGAGUGCCAGGGCAGGCGGGAGGGGCUUUGUGGGUGCUGACGAGUCUGCUGUGAGAUCUCUGCGGGGGAGGCUGUGAAGGGAGACUGGCACAUUUGCUGACGUGGGCCCUGGUGUCUGCAAACAGGAGCAGGCAGCAUAUGGGAGGGGAGCAGAUGCCCACGGGGGAGGGGGCAGCAGAGCCCAGGCCAUCUCGGGUUACCCGAAGGACCCCUGCUUGAGACCCAGACACCGCUGUCCUGUCAGGAGGCCAGGAACACACAGGUCCACUCAGGGGAGGACAAAGGAUGACAGAGGCCCACCUCUGGCCGGAGGGAAGAGAAGCCGACCAGAAGGGCCACCCUGGGACUUAGCCAAAGUCUCCGGGACAACCCUGCAAAGUGCCGAGCAUGAAAGUCAUGGGUCGAGUGGAGAGUCAGACCCGGAGGUGUCAGCUACAGCAGGGCCAUGGGACCCUGUCCCAAGGGUGCACUGGCAGCCAGCACCCACCACCAGGCCCCCCAGGGCUCAACAAUCUCCUCCACAUGCAGCCACGGACACAGGCACCCGGAGUAGACCCGGCCCUUCAGCAGCUGCAGGACGGUGGCCAUGUCUGCGCUCAGCCGGGUCUCCAGCCUGGGCGAGAAGGAGGAGGAUGCUCUGGGUCUCAGAGAAGUGGAGACACCAGCAACUGUGACUUCAGGACCACCCUGUGGACAGCCAGCUGGUCAACCCCCCAGGCCCACUUUCCAUCCUAGGCGUGGCAGCCCCAGCCUGGCUCCAAAUGCAAGGAGAGGGCGAAGCCGUUGGGACACAUGGACAGGUCUAGACGGAGCGGACAACCCCCCUGGCACCCGACAACACUGCCCGAAACCCACAGAUCACGCUGCAGCACUCUCCUGUCCAACACCUCCUAGCCUGUCCCCCUGGACAUUCACGGGACCCCAGGGACCGCCCUCACCUAUUGAGCUGCCUCUGGAGGGCGUCCAGCCUGGUCUCCACGUCUGCCCGCGGCCGGCGGCCAGGGCUGGACAGGGGGAUAUUGAGGAGGCUGGGAGCAGGGGCAGGGCACCGAGGCAGCUCCUGGUACUGGCGGCCGCGGCUGUCCCCCCAGAAGCUGAAGAUGUUGGACACUCCUGAGAAGGCGCCUGCAUCCAGAGAGCAGGGUUGAGGCUGGAAGGGAGGCCCACAGCCCACCCGCGGGGCAGAGGUCGGGGGGGGGGGGGGGGGGGGGGGGGCUCACCCUACCUGACAGUGGGUUACACGUGUCGCUGCUCUUCUCACCAUCCUCGGUCAGGGGGUCCCCACCCGGCGGCUCUCCGGGGGGCCUGGGGCUGGAGAAGGGCACCAGGCGGAGGGGGCUGGAGCUGCGGCCUGGGCCCUCAUCCUCACUGCUCUCGGGGCUGGAGGGGCCGCUGGACAGGCUCUCCCCCCACGGCCCCCCCUGCCGGCCCCGGCCACUCGGCCCUGCCCCCGCCCGGCUCGGCCCCAAGGCCGACACCUCCCCUGGCUGCUCCGGGUCUGUGGGAGACAGAGAACGGGCCUCAGAGAUGGCAAGAGGAGGCAGAGAGAGGAGGGGAGGGCCGGGGAGGGGAGGGGGCCGGACGCCCUGGCUUGUCCCCAGUCCUGUCUUGUGCUUUCUCCCCCACUUCCAAGAGGACUAAGAACUCCGCGGGCGGGACCACAUCGUCUGUGACGGCUGGCUGCCCGAGCUGGGUCAGUAGCACUGCUGGGCGGGGCUCUCUGGGACCCCGGGCCCUAGCCCUCCCUGCCAUGCUGGCCGCCUCUCCCUCCUUUGCCCUGACUUUCCUCCCCGCAUCGGUUCAAAGCAGCGCCCAUCAAGACACCAGCCCUGUGAGGACCCAAUAAACUUAGGCGCGCCCCUGCCCUGGAGAGUGCAAGAGGGCUUCCUGGAGAACGUGACAUUUCAAGUGGGCCUGAAAGGAUGGGGUGAGGAGGAGGGAACGCUGACGGUAGGGGUGGGAGCUCUGUGGGGCCUAGGAGGAGCAGACCUGCCGGUCCCGCCCUCUGCUCCGCCCCCUCUAGGCCCCGCCUGGCUCCCGCCUCCCGCCUCCCCUGGGCCCCGCCCCCUCCACUCCCCUCCCCCGCCCCCUCCACUCCCCUCCCCUGCCCCCUCCCCUCCCCCGCCUCACCCUUGUCCGUGCGCCGGCGGAAGGACAGCUUGCGUUUGCGUUGCCGGUUGAAGCCGCCCUCCAACUCCGCGCUGCCCGGAGAGCCAGGGAUCAUGUUGGUCUGAAACCCAAGAGCAGUGUUAGGGCCCUUCCGCGCCCACCUGCCCUGCCCGGUCUCGGGGAAGACCCUCUCAUGACCAGAGGAGGUGGGACUGGGCGUGCCCGCUCCCGGGGAGGUGUGAGCUCCGCCGCAGGACCAGGGCUGAGACUGGCACUUUUCACAACCUGGUCUGACCCAGAUACCAUUAAACAAGCCCAGAGAGAAGGUCCCGCGGCGAAGGGGCAGCCACCCAGCAGGGCGGUCGGCCGCGUGGCCCACUCACAUCGCGCAGGUUGAAGGUGAUCUCCAGGCUAGACCAGAAGUGGUCAGAGAACUCGGGGUACAUGUCCAGCACCUCCAGCAGGUCGUCGCGGUGGAUCUUGUGCAGGUCGCAGUAGGUGAGGGCCCGCACGUCCCCGUUGGACUUCCCAGGGCGCGCGUACAGGUUCAGAGGCUCUCCGAAGAUGUCGUUCUUCCCUGGAGGCCACCGAGAGGGGGGCUCAGCCCCGGGGCGGCCGCAGAGGCAGCAGGCACCUGUCUUCCGUGCAUUGUCACCCUGGCCGGGCACCUCCCCUCAGUCUGAUCAUGUGCUGCCCAGCCCCAGCCCCCAGGGCCAGGGGGCACCAGCCGGCCCAUCUGCCCCCAGCUCCCAAAGGCAGGACAGGUGCCGUGUGGUGCCCUGGAGGAGAAGGGCCAGGAACCUGUGCCUCCCAGCUACUAUAGGGCCAGCCAACAGCGCCAGCCUGGAUGCCCAGCUCUGCCCAAGACCCUGGCUUCCUCCUUAGGUUCUGACUCCUCUGGUACCCCCCCCCACCAAAGCCCAUUCCCACACAUCCCCUGGCUAAGCACUGCACCCCCAUGAACAAUGUUCUUCAAGCUACAGAUCAUGACACAGUAGUGAAUCAAGACAAGCAUUUUGUUUACUGAGAGAAAACAGGAUAGCAUAGCUGAGCACAGGCAUAGAACGGAAAACACCGGGAUGCAGUUAAGGCAACUGCAGUUUACCAAAACUUUGGUUGCAGUGGUGUUUGGGGGUGUUUGCAGCAUGAGCAUUAAGCCCCACCGUGACACACCAGCCCUGAGGUGGUCAGGGCCGAGGGGAGGACAGGCAGAGGGCAGGAAGUCCCCAGCGCCCAGGCACACCUGUCCACGUGCUCAGGUAGGGCGGAGAAGAAGGGAUUCGAGGGGAAGAGGGGCAGACUCCCUCUGCUCUGGAGGUGAGGACUUGGCUGUACCACAGGGCCCUAAGUAGAAAUCCGUCACACAACCUCCCCCACUGCCUAUCUUGGAGCAUUUGGAUUUGGUCCCAUUUUAAGAAACAAGAGUGUCACAGCCCCCCAAAGGGAAACUGAAUUUGGAAACCUCCAGAGUUCAGCAGCACCCACCCCCCACCACCACGCAGGGUUCCUCUCCCCGGCCCCGUGGGAGGACCUGAGCUUGGGUGAAUUAAAGGAGCCCAAGGCCCCUGUGGGCAGUCACAGGGCCACAGGCCCCGGGGGCUGUGUCCUUCGAGGGCUGGACCUCUGCAACCGUGGCAGGCACUCCGGGCCCAGCUCCCGGUCCCUGCCAUACCCAGGAUGGCCACGACCACGUCACCCCGCAGGAUCUCGAUGGAGCCCCGGGAGAUGAAGUAGAGGGCGGUGAGCAGGUCCCCGGCGUGCACCAGCGUGUCUCCGGGCGGCGCGUGAGUCGUCUUGAACUUCAUGGCCAGGGCCCGCAGGCAGCCCUUGGUGGCCCCUCGGAAGGGCUUGCAGUGCUGCAGCAGUGAGCGGUUCAGGUGUAGACAGAUGUCGGCCUGCAGGCACUCGGGGAAGCCCUUCAGCACCUGGGGGCAGGGGGGAGGCUCAGCACGCCCUCUCCUGGGACCCCCACUCCCACCCCCCCCACCUGGAGAGCCGGCCGGGGAGCACCAGGGUGUCCAGGAUCUAUCAGGGGAAGGACCUGGGUGUCCACGCCAGCUCCACCCCUCCUCCCUGCAGACUGUGCACCCCUGGGACAACGCCUCACUGCUCUCACCUUCACCUUCUAACGUGUGAGGCGUGGAGACCAUCUCCUGC